RNAcentral lists this ribosomal RNA (368 nucleotides) under uncultured prokaryote. RNAcentral describes it as "bacterial SSU rRNA". It matches the Rfam family "Bacterial small subunit ribosomal RNA", at positions 415 to 774 of the family's 1533-position model. The record is from RNAcentral.
CCUACGGGUCGUAAAGCCCUGUCAGGUGGGAAGACUGUCCCGGGACUGAACAGGUUUCGGGAGUGACGGUACCACCAGAGGAAGCACCGGCUAACUCCGUGCCAGCAGCCGCGGUAAUACGGAGGGUGCAAGCGUUAUUCGGAAUUACUGGGCGUAAAGCGCGUGUAGGCGGCCCUGCAAGUCUGAUGUGAAAGCCCCGGGCUUAACCCGGGAAGUGCAUUGGAAACUGCAGGUCUUGAGUACUGGAGAGGAUGGGGGAAUUCCCGGUGUAGAGGUGAAAUUCGUAGAGAUCGGGAGGAAUAUCAGUGGCGAAGGCGCCCAUCUGGACGGUAACUGACGCUGAGACGCGAAAGCGUGGGGAGCAAACA